UAAAAGACGCCUUCUAUUUCUUUUUCCUGCUAACUCCUCACAUAAGUGACUCAAGCUUAAAGAGGUCCUAAUGGUGGAAUUUUAAUCUUCAAAUCGUCUAAGUCUUCAACCUUCUAAUCAGAUUCAUCAUGAAUCGAUUCGCUCCCAUCGGCAUUCCAACCGGCAAACAAACCCCAAUUCGGUUUGAGCAAAUCGAAUCGUGAUUUGCGGGUAAACCUACCGGAUCAUGUGACACUGAGUCAUAAACUUGAAGUCCGAAUCAAGCCCAAGAAAUUAAGGCCUGGUAAACAAUGAGCACAUCAAGUUGACAUUUACAAACUCAGCGGCACAAAAAUAGGCAAAUGCUUGGAAUCGUAGAAGAGAUGAUUUUCGUUUUUCAAUUUUACAUUCAGAUGACAAACCAAGGGUUUCACGGUCAUAAUUUGGGAGAGCAAAUAUAAAGAGAAUGA
This is a long non-coding RNA of Amaranthus tricolor (Joseph's coat), 449 nucleotides long. RefSeq lists it as uncharacterized. The transcript is spliced from 3 exons. The record is from RefSeq and is a predicted model, not a curated record. NCBI's taxonomy places the organism in Eukaryota, Viridiplantae, Streptophyta, Magnoliopsida, Caryophyllales, Amaranthaceae.